GUAGUCGUGGCCGAGUGGUUAAGGCGACAGACUAGAAAUCUGUUGGGGUCUCCCCGCGCAGGUUCGAACCCUGCCGACUACG
Non-coding RNA from Strongylocentrotus purpuratus (purple sea urchin), 82 nucleotides. NCBI's taxonomy places the organism in Eukaryota, Metazoa, Echinodermata, Echinoidea, Camarodonta, Strongylocentrotidae. The record is from Rfam.